Molecule: RNA transcript, 1356 nt
Organism: Prunus persica (peach)
Lineage: Eukaryota; Viridiplantae; Streptophyta; Magnoliopsida; Rosales; Rosaceae
Gene name: small nuclear ribonucleoprotein-associated protein B'
Exons: 1
Source: RefSeq, a predicted model, not a curated record
AAAUACUACAGGCACGGACAUCUUCAAUUCAACCGUCGUUUAGAAAUCAAAAUCAAAAUCCAAAAACCUAAAACCUAAAAUCUAAAAACCCUGAACCCUGAACCCUGGGAAGCACAGUGAGUAGGGAUUUCGGACCUCACGAACCAUCGUCACAAUGUCGAUGUCGAAGAGCUCCAAGAUGCUGCAAUUCAUAAACUACCGCAUGAGGGUGACGAUCCAGGACGGUCGUCAGCUCGUCGGUAAGUUCAUGGCCUUCGACCGCCACAUGAACCUCGUCCUCGGCGACUGCGAGGAGUUCCGCAAGCUCCCUCCUCUCAAAGGCAACAAGAACGAGGAACGCGACGACCGCCGAACCCUAGGCCUCGUCCUCCUCCGCGGCGAAGAGGUUGUAUCCAUGACCGUCGAGGGCCCACCUCCCCAGGAAGAAUCCCGCGCCAAGGCCGCCAGCGCCGCCGCCUUAGCAGGCCCGGGAGUCGGCCGGGCCGCCGGUCGUGGCAUCCCAACCGCCCCGCUCGCCCAGGCCCAGCCAGGUCUCUCCGGCCCGGUUCGUGGCGUCGGCGGGCCCGCCCCCGGCAUGAUGCAGCCUCAGAUUUCUCGGCCACCACAGAUGUCUGCGCCGCCCAUGUCGUACCCAGCUGCGCCGGUGAUUCGUCCACCUCCAGGUCAGAUGGCUCCGUACCCUGGACAGGGGCCGCCGCAAAUGGUGCGGGGCCCGCCACCUGGGGUGCCUCCUCCGCAGUUUGCUAGGCCUGGUGGGCCGGGCCCGCCGCAGCAAUUCCCGGGACCACCACCAAUGCAGUUCGGGCAGAGGCCGAUGGGACCUCCGCCUCAGAUGAUGAGGGGACCGCCGCCGCCGCCCCGUCCUGGAAUGCCUCCUCCCCCCGGUGGUGGUGUUCCUGUGUAUGGACCGCCUCGUCCAGGCAUGCCGCCUCCUCCACCCAACCAGCAGAACCAACAGCAACAGUGAUGAUCGGUACUUUAAUCCUAUAUGUUUAGUUUUGUUUGUUUUGAACUCUUGAGUGAAAUCCUGAAUGUUUGUUUGUGGGUGAUGAGGUAGCUGGCUUAGUAAUGUGAAAUGAACCUACUUUCUCUUAUGAUUUAGACUGAAUAGAUGUUUUCAUUUGACGUGUUUGGGAUUUCUAUGUGUUUGAACAAUGAAGUGAAAUUUUUCUGUUGCAAACUAUCUAUUUAGUAUGUUGUAGCUAUGAAAUGUAGGAUGAGAAAAUGUCCAUGUUUUGUGAAUGAGUGGAAUCUCUGUAGGAGAGUUUAGCUUCUAUCAAGUCAAAUGAAAUGAGGGAUCAUUAAGCUUAGUCUUGUUUUUCUGCUGGAAUUAAUCUAAAAGUUGAUUGUUGAUGA